AAGGGAAACCGGUGCAAUACCGGUGCUGCCCCGCAACUGUGAGGGGGGACCGAUGCCGCAGUGAUGCCACUGUCCGAAGGGACGGGAAGGCGCGGCAGGCGGGAUGAUCCCCGAGCCAGGAGACCU
This 126-nucleotide non-coding RNA is filed under the name Geobacter sulfurreducens. Lineage: Bacteria; Pseudomonadati; Thermodesulfobacteriota; Desulfuromonadia; Geobacterales; Geobacteraceae. The record is from RNAcentral.